Molecule: ribosomal RNA, 548 nt
Filed under: Stylocellus sp. Lingga 2
Lineage: Eukaryota; Metazoa; Arthropoda; Arachnida; Opiliones; Stylocellidae
Description: SSU rRNA
Rfam family: Eukaryotic small subunit ribosomal RNA
Source: RNAcentral
UCAUAUGCUUGUCUCAAAGACUAAGCCAUGCAAGUCUAAGUACAUGCCGUAUUAAGGUGAAACCGCGAAUGGCUCAUUAAAUCAGUUAUGGUUCCUUAGAUCGUACUUUUCUACUUGGAUAACUGUGGCAAUUCUAGAGCUAAUACAUGCAGCAGAGCUCCGACCUUCGGGGACGAGCGCUUUUAUUAGACCAAGACCAAUCGGACUUCGGUCCGUACGCCACGGCGACUCUGGAUAACUUUGGGCUGAUCGCACGAUCUCGCAUCGGCGAUAUUUCUUUCAAGUGUCUGACUUAUCAACUUUCGAUGGUAGUCUAUGCGCCUACCAUGGUCGUAACGGGUAACGGGGAAUCAGGGUUCGAUUCCGGAGAGGGAGCCUGAGAAACGGCUACCACAUCCAAGGAAGGCAGCAGGCGCGCAAAUUACCCACUCCCGGCACGGGGAGGUAGUGACGAAAAAUAACAAUACGGGACUCUCUUGAGGCCCCGUAAUUGGAAUGAGUACACUCUAAAUCCUUUAACGAGGAUCUAUUGGAGGGCAAGUCUGGUG